RNAcentral lists this ribosomal RNA (497 nucleotides) under uncultured bacterium. Its description in RNAcentral is "partial 16S ribosomal RNA". It matches the Rfam family "Bacterial small subunit ribosomal RNA", at positions 28 to 507 of the family's 1533-position model. The record is from RNAcentral.
GACGAACGCUGGCGGCGUGCUUAACACAUGCAAGUCGAGCGAACGGACGAGAAGCUUGCUUCUCUGACGUUAGCGGCGGACGGGUGAGUAACACGUGGAUCAUCUACCUAUAAGACUGGGAUAACUUCGGGAAACCGGCGCUAAUACCGGAUAAUAUUUUGAACCGCAUGGUUCAAAAGUCAGAGACGGUCUUGCUGUCACUACUAGAUGGAUCCGCGCUGCAUUAGCUAGUAGGUAAGGUAACGGCUUACCAAGGCAACGAUGCGUAGCCGACCUGUGAGAGUGAUCGGCGACACGGGAAGUGGGACACGCACCAGACGCCUACGGGAGGCAGCAGUGGGGAAUCGUACGCAAUAGGCGAAAGCCUGACGCAGCAACGCCACGUGAGUGAUGAAAGUCUUCGGAUCGUAAAACACUGUUAUUAGGGAUAAACAUGUUUGGAAGUAAAUGUACCCAUAUUGACGGUACCUAAUCAGAAAGCCACGGCUAACUACGUG